CCUACGGGUGGCAGCAGUGAGGAAUAUUGGUCAAUGGCCGGAAGCCUGAACCAGCCAAGCCGCGUGCGGGACGAAGGUGCUAAGCGUUGUAAACCGCUUUUGUCCGGGGACAACAUCAUCCCCUUGAGCCUGACCGCAGGUACCGUGCGAAUAAGGGUCGGCUAAUUCCGUGCCAGCAGCCGCGGUAAUACGGAGGGAGCGAGCGUUAUCCGGAUUUAUUGGGCUAAAAGGGAGCGUAGGCGGACUGUCAAGUCAGCUGUAAAAUCCCGCGGCUCAACCGCGCCGCGCAGUUGAAACUGGACGCCUUGAGUUCACAACAGGUAGGCGGAAUUCGUGGUGUAGCGGUGAAAUGCAUAGA
RNAcentral lists this ribosomal RNA (358 nucleotides) under uncultured bacterium. RNAcentral describes it as "partial 16S ribosomal RNA". It matches the Rfam family "Bacterial small subunit ribosomal RNA", at positions 338 to 694 of the family's 1533-position model. The record is from RNAcentral.